Molecule: ribosomal RNA, 853 nt
Filed under: Chrysotila dentata
Lineage: Eukaryota; Haptophyta; Isochrysidales; Isochrysidaceae
Description: partial large subunit ribosomal RNA
Rfam family: Eukaryotic large subunit ribosomal RNA
Source: RNAcentral
CACUAAGCGGAGGAGAAGAAACUAACCAGGAUGCCCCUAGUAAUGGCGAAUGAAGCGGGCGUAGCUCACGCUGCCAAUCUGGAGGCCGACUCUUGCGUGUCUCCCGAAUUGUGGUCUAGGAAGGCGCCAUCGGCCGCGCGCGUCGCCGAAAUCCCUUGGAAGAGGGUAUCGGAGAAGGUGAGAAUCCUGUGCCGUGGCGCGUCGCGGCCUCACGAUGCGUCCUUGUCGAGUCGGGUUGCUUGGGAUUGCAGCUUGAAGUGGGUGGUAAAUUCCAUCUAAAGCUAAAUAGUGGCGAGAGACCGAUAGCGAACAAGUACCGUGAGGGAAAGAUGCAAAGAACUUUGAAAAGAGAGUCAAAGAGUGCUUGAAAUUGGCAGGAGGAAACCCGGUUGCGCCCGGCGUCGGCGCGUCGACUCAGCCGUGUGCGGGCUUGUCCUGUGCGGACCGCAAGGCCGCUUUGGGUUGGUUUGUGUGCGGUGCACUUCGACGCGCCGGGUCAGCUUUCGCUGCGCGUUGCGAGAGAUGCCGUUGGGUGAGGCCUUGGCGAUCCCAUUCGGAGCGUCGCGAGUGCGGCGUGUUUGAGCUGACGGAACGGGCGCCACCGACCCGUCUAGAAACACGGACCAAGGAGUCUGACACGUGUGCGAGUACCCGGGUGUGGAAUGCCCGCGUGCGGAAUGAAAGUGAAGGGCAUGCCCUGCCAACCGACCUUGAGCUGCUGCGAAGGGUUUGAGUGGAGCACGUGUGUCGGGACCCGAAAGAUGGUGAACUAUGCCUGAGGAGGGUGAAGCCAGAGGAAACUCUGGUGGAGGCUCGUAGCGAUACUGACGUGCAAAUCGUUCGUCGAACUUGG